GGGUUGUGAGGUUAAGCGACUAAGCGUACACGGUGGAUGCCCUGGCAGUCAGAGGCGAUGAAGGACGUGCUAAUCUGCGAUAAGCGCCGGUAAGGUGAUAUGAACCGUUAUAACCGGCGAUUUCCGAAUGGGGAAACCCAGUGUGAUUCGUCACACUAUCAUUAACUGAAUCCAUAGGUUAAUGAGGCGAACCGGGGGAACUGAAACAUCUAAGUACCCCGAGGAAAAGAAAUCAACCGAGAUUCCCCCAGUAGCGGCGAGCGAACGGGGAGGAGCCCAGAGCCUGAAUCAGCAUGUGUGUUAGUGGAAGCGUCUGGAAAGGCGCGCGAUACAGGGUGACAGCCCCGUACACAAAAGCGCAUGUGCUGUGAGCUCGAUGAGUAGGGCGGGACACGUGGUAUCCUGUCUGAAUAUGGGGGGACCAUCCUCCAAGGCUAAAUACUCCUGACUGACCGAUAGUGAACCAGUACCGUGAGGGAAAGGCGAAAAGAACCCCGGCGAGGGGAGUGAAAAAGAACCUGAAACCGUGUACGUACAAGCAG
Molecule: ribosomal RNA, 542 nt
Filed under: Salmonella enterica subsp. enterica
Lineage: Bacteria; Pseudomonadati; Pseudomonadota; Gammaproteobacteria; Enterobacterales; Enterobacteriaceae
Also listed under: 1 other name
Description: partial 23S ribosomal RNA
Rfam family: Bacterial large subunit ribosomal RNA
Source: RNAcentral